This 1430-nucleotide ribosomal RNA is filed under the name uncultured organism. RNAcentral's name for it is "16S ribosomal RNA". It matches the Rfam family "Bacterial small subunit ribosomal RNA". The record is from RNAcentral.
CUUAACACAUGCAAGUCGAACGGAAAGGCCUUGCUUUUGUGGGGUGCUCGAGUGGCGAACGGGUGAGUAACACGUGAGUAACCUGCCCUUGAUUUUGGGAUAACUUCAGGAAACUGGGGCUAAUACCGGAUAGGAGCUCCUGCUGCAUGGUGGGGGUUGGAAAGUUUCGGCGGUUGGGGAUGGACUCGCGGCUUAUCAGCUUGUUGGUGGGGUAGUGGCUUACCAAGGCUUUGACGGGUAGCCGGCCUGAGAGGGUGACCGGCCACAUUGGGACUGAGAUACGGCCCAGACUCCUACGGGAGGCAGCAGUGGGGAAUAUUGCACAAUGGGCGGAAGCCUGAUGCAGCAACGCCGCGUGCGGGAUGACGGCCUUCGGGUUGUAAACCGCUUUCGCCUGUGACGAAGCGUGAGUGACGGUAAUGGGUAAAGAAGCACCGGCUAACUACGUGCCAGCAGCCGCGGUGAUACGUAGGGUGCGAGCGUUGUCCGGAUUUAUUGGGCGUAAAGGGCUCGUAGGUGGUUGAUCGCGUCGGAAGUGUAAUCUUGGGGCUUAACCCUGAGCGUGCUUUCGAUACGGGUUGACUUGAGGAAGGUAGGGGAGAAUGGAAUUCCUGGUGGAGCGGUGGAAUGCGCAGAUAUCAGGAGGAACACCAGUGGCGAAGGCGGUUCUCUGGGCCUUUCCUGACGCUGAGGAGCGAAAGCGUGGGGAGCGAACAGGCUUAGAUACCCUGGUAGUCCACGCUGUAAACGGUGGGUACUAGGUGUGGGGUCCAUUCCACGGGUUCCGUGCCGUAGCUAACGCUUUAAGUACCCCGCCUGGGGAGUACGGCCGCAAGGCUAAAACUCAAAGGAAUUGACGGGGCCCCGCACAAGCGGCGGAGCAUGCGGAUUAAUUCGAUGCAACGCGUAGAACCUUACCUGGGUUUGACAUGGAUCGGGAGUGCUCAGAGAUGGGUGUGCCUCUUUUGGGGUCGGUUCACAGGUGGUGCAUGGCUGUCGUCAGCUCGUGUCGUGAGAUGUUGGGUUAAGUCCCGCAACGAGCGCAACCCUUGUUCACUGUUGCCAGCACGUUAUGGUGGGGACUCAGUGGAGACCGCCGGGGUCAACUCGGAGGAAGGUGGGGAUGACGUCAAGUCAUCAUGCCCCUUAUGUCCAGGGCUUCACGCAUGCUACAAUGGCUGGUACAGAGAGUGGCGAGCCUGUGAGGGUGAGCGAAUCUCGGAAAGCCGGUCUCAGUUCGGAUUGGGGUCUGCAACUCGACCUCAUGAAGUCGGAGUCGCUAGUAAUCGCAGAUCAGCAACGCUGCGGUGAAUACGUUCCCGGGGCUUGUACACACCGCCCGUCAAGUCAUGAAAGUUGGUAACACCCGAAGCCGGUGGCCUAACCGUUGUGGGGGAGCCGUCGAAGGUGGGACUGGUGAUUAGGACUAA